This 498-nucleotide ribosomal RNA is filed under the name uncultured marine eukaryote. RNAcentral describes it as "SSU rRNA". It matches the Rfam family "Eukaryotic small subunit ribosomal RNA", at positions 717 to 1216 of the family's 1831-position model. The record is from RNAcentral.
CCCUUCAUUGGGUUGAAGCAUGCAAUCCACGUCAUUUACUGUGAACAAAUUAGAGUGUUCAAAGCAGGCUUACGCCACUGAAUACAUUAGCAUGGAAUAAUACUAUAGGACUUUGGUGAUUCUAUUGUUGGUUACGCACCAGGGUAAUGAUUAAUAGGGAUAGUUGGGGGUAUUCGUAUUCAAUUGUCAGAGGUGAAAUUCUUGGAUUUCCGGAAGACGAACAACUGCGAAAGCAUUUACCAAGGAUGUUUUCAUUGAUCAAGAACGAAAGUUAGGGGAUCGAAGAUGAUCAGAUACCAUCGUAGUCUUAACCAUAAACGAUGCCGACUGGGGAUCGGUGGGAGUUCUUUUUGUGACUCCAUCGGCACCCUAUGAGAAAUCUAAGUCUUUGGGUUCCGGGGGGAGUAUGGUCGCAAGGCUGAAACUUAAAGGAAUUGACGGAAGAGCACCACCAGGGGUGGAGCCUGCGGCUUAAUUUGACUCAACGCGGGGAAACUU